Molecule: ribosomal RNA, 729 nt
Filed under: Triticum aestivum (bread wheat)
Lineage: Eukaryota; Viridiplantae; Streptophyta; Magnoliopsida; Poales; Poaceae
Description: partial small subunit ribosomal RNA
Source: RNAcentral
CCGCGCCGCGGCCAUGGCAGGAGGGGAGGAGCCCGAAACCCUCAGGUCCGUAGCGGCGCAUGCCUCAGCGGCUGGUCCUCGUUCAAGGUGGCGACGCGGCUCAGGUUGGCCGGGCACCGCGUCAGCACGCCUGACCUGGCGGCGUCGGGCGUCGACCCCAGGCCGCUGCGCGAGGUGCCAACGUUCCGCGACUACACCAAGCCGCUGCUGGACCUCCUGGAGUCCCUCCCGCCCGGCGAGAAGGUGGUGCUCGUCGGCCACAGCCUCGGCGGCGUGAACGUCGCCCUCGCCUGCGAGCUGUUCCCGGAGAAGAUCGCCGCUGCGGUGUUCGUUGCCACCUUCAUGCCGGACCAUAGGUCGCCGCCGUCGUACGUGCUUGAAAAGUUCAUGGAGGGGAGAACGCUGGACUGGAUGGACACGGAGUUCAAGCCUCAAGAUCCCGAGGGCAAGCGACCUACUUCCAUGCUGUUCGGGCCGCUGGUCACUCGAGCAAAGUUCUUCCAGCUGUGCUCGCCGGAGGACCUCACGCUGGGAAGAUCCCUGAUGAGGGUCAGCUCCAUGUUCGUGGACGACCUGAGGCUGCAGCCGCCGUACAUGGAGGCCCGCUACGGGUCUAUGCCGGCAUCUCCGCUUCAGGUCCAUCUUCAUGAACUUCCUUUUUCUGAAUCUAAUCACAAAUUCUUAGAUGAUCGAUCUCCUGCAUCACUGCAGCUACUGAAGAUGAUAUGA